RNAcentral lists this ribosomal RNA (1400 nucleotides) under Staphylococcus aureus. RNAcentral describes it as "bacterial SSU rRNA". It matches the Rfam family "Bacterial small subunit ribosomal RNA". Lineage: Bacteria; Bacillati; Bacillota; Bacilli; Caryophanales; Staphylococcaceae. The record is from RNAcentral.
AUAACUUCGGGAAACCGGAGCUAAUACCGGAUAAUAUUUUGAACCGCAUGGUUCAAAAGUGAAAGACGGUCUUGCUGUCACUUAUAGAUGGAUCCGCGCUGCAUUAGCUAGUUGGUAAGGUAACGGCUUACCAAGGCAACGAUGCAUAGCCGACCUGAGAGGGUGAUCGGCCACACUGGAACUGAGACACGGUCCAGACUCCUACGGGAGGCAGCAGUAGGGAAUCUUCCGCAAUGGGCGAAAGCCUGACGGAGCAACGCCGCGUGAGUGAUGAAGGUCUUCGGAUCGUAAAACUCUGUUAUUAGGGAAGAACAUAUGUGUAAGUAACUGUGCACAUCUUGACGGUACCUAAUCAGAAAGCCACGGCUAACUACGUGCCAGCAGCCGCGGUAAUACGUAGGUGGCAAGCGUUAUCCGGAAUUAUUGGGCGUAAAGCGCGCGUAGGCGGUUUUUUAAGUCUGAUGUGAAAGCCCACGGCUCAACCGUGGAGGGUCAUUGGAAACUGGAAAACUUGAGUGCAGAAGAGGAAAGUGGAAUUCCAUGUGUAGCGGUGAAAUGCGCAGAGAUAUGGAGGAACACCAGUGGCGAAGGCGACUUUCUGGUCUGUAACUGACGCUGAUGUGCGAAAGCGUGGGGAUCAAACAGGAUUAGAUACCCUGGUAGUCCACGCCGUAAACGAUGAGUGCUAAGUGUUAGGGGGUUUCCGCCCCUUAGUGCUGCAGCUAACGCAUUAAGCACUCCGCCUGGGGAGUACGACCGCAAGGUUGAAACUCAAAGGAAUUGACGGGGACCCGCACAAGCGGUGGAGCAUGUGGUUUAAUUCGAAGCAACGCGAAGAACCUUACCAAAUCUUGACAUCCUUUGACAACUCUAGAGAUAGAGCUUUCCCCUUCGGGGGACAAAGUGACAGGUGGUGCAUGGUUGUCGUCAGCUCGUGUCGUGAGAUGUUGGGUUAAGUCCCGCAACGAGCGCAACCCUUAAGCUUAGUUGCCAUCAUUAAGUUGGGCACUCUAAGUUGACUGCCGGUGACAAACCGGAGGAAGGUGGGGAUGACGUCAAAUCAUCAUGCCCCUUAUGAUUUGGGCUACACACGUGCUACAAUGGACAAUACAAAGGGCAGCGAAACCGUGAGGUCAAGCAAAUCCCAUAAAGUUGUUCUCAGUUCGGAUUGUAGUCUGCAACUCGACUACAUGAAGCUGGAAUCGCUAGUAAUCGUAGAUCAGCAUGCUACGGUGAAUACGUUCCCGGGUCUUGUACACACCGCCCGUCACACCACGAGAGUUUGUAACACCCGAAGCCGGUGGAGUAACCUUUUAGGAGCUAGCCGUCGAAGGUGGGACAAAUGAUUGGGGUGAAGUCGUAACAAGGUAGCCGUAUCGGAAGGUGCGGCUGGAUCACCU